UACGGAGGGUGCGAGCGUUGUCCGGAAUUAUCGGGCGUAAAGAGCUCGUAGGCGGUUUGUCGCGUCUGCCGUGAAAGUCCGGGGCUUAACCCCGGAUCUGCGGUGGGUACGGGCAGACUAGAGUGCAGUAGGGGAGACUGGAAUUCCUGGUGUAGCGGUGAAAUGCGCAGAUAUCAGGAGGAACACCGAUGGCGAAGGCAGGUCUCUGGGCUGUAACUGACGCUGAGGAGCGAAAGCAUGGGGAGCGAACAGG
Molecule: ribosomal RNA, 253 nt
Filed under: uncultured bacterium
Lineage: Bacteria
Description: partial 16S ribosomal RNA
Rfam family: Bacterial small subunit ribosomal RNA
Source: RNAcentral